UGAGUGACCUGCCGAUUUGUGGGGGAUAGCCGGGCCAACGCCCGGGUAAUACCGCAUACGCUCUUCUUGGGGCAUCUCUAGAAGAGGAAACCUCCGGGGCAAAUCGAGGGACUCGCGGCCUAUCAGCUAGUUGGCGAGGUAACGGCUCACCAAGGCUACGACGGGUAGCUGGUCUGAGAGGAUGGCCAGCCACAUUGGGACUGAGACACGGCCCAGACCUCCGUACGGGAGCAGC
Molecule: ribosomal RNA, 235 nt
Filed under: uncultured bacterium
Lineage: Bacteria
Description: partial 16S ribosomal RNA
Rfam family: Bacterial small subunit ribosomal RNA
Source: RNAcentral